GACGAACCGUACGAACGUUAUUCGGAAUUACUGGGCUUAAAGGGUGCGUAGGCGGCGCUGAAAGUUGGGUGUGAAAUCCCUCGGCUCAACCGAGGAACUGCGCUCAAUACUCCAGUGCUCGAGGGAGAUAGAGGUAAGCGGAACUUAGGGUGGAGCGGUGAAAUGCGUUGAUAUCCUAAGGAACACCUGUGGCGAAAGCGGCUUACUGGAUCUUUUCUGACGCUGAGGCACGAAAGCUAGGGUAGCGAACGGG
RNAcentral lists this ribosomal RNA (253 nucleotides) under uncultured prokaryote. Its description in RNAcentral is "partial 16S ribosomal RNA". It matches the Rfam family "Bacterial small subunit ribosomal RNA", at positions 524 to 776 of the family's 1533-position model. The record is from RNAcentral.